UACGUAGGGUGCAAGCGUUGUCCGGAAUUAUUGGGCGUAAAGAGCUCGUAGGCGGUUUGUCGCGUCUGCCGUGAAAGUCCGGGGCUCAACUCCGGAUCUGCGGUGGGUACGGGCAGACUAGAGUGAUGUAGGGGAGACUGGAAUUCCUGGUGUAGCGGUGAAAUGCGCAGAUAUCAGGAGGAACACCGAUGGCGAAGGCAGCCCCCUGGGCUAGCACUGACGCUCAGGCACGAAAGCGUGGGGAGCGAUCCGG
RNAcentral lists this ribosomal RNA (253 nucleotides) under uncultured bacterium. RNAcentral describes it as "partial 16S ribosomal RNA". It matches the Rfam family "Bacterial small subunit ribosomal RNA", at positions 524 to 776 of the family's 1533-position model. The record is from RNAcentral.